CUCUUCACCCGGCUCAGGAAUGUGGUGGGUGGCCCCACCCUGCCAGGGUGCGCUGUUCUUACUUGCAGGAGUCUGCCCCCCAACCAGGUGCCCAGCCCUUGGGUCUGUUCUGAGACCUGCUGGAGUGGCCUCUAACCUGGGCCUGGUAUUUGGGCCACAGGGGCACUAGGCCAGGUGUGGCUUGGUGGGGGGACAAUAAACCUGCUGGAGCAGGAAGAGGAGGAAGGACACAGGGCCAAAACCAGGGGGACUGAGCCCACAGCCCUCAGAGUCCUGUUCUGAAGACCAUCCUUACUCUGCUUCACUCAAGAAGAACCUUCCCACUGCCUCCUGGGGAACUAGGGACUCGUUUGUGAACAGCCAGGAGUGGACGCUGAGCCGCUCCGUACCGGAGCUUAAAGUGGGCAUAGUGGGGAACCUGUCUAGCGGGAAGUCAGCCCUGGUGCACCGCUAUCUGACGGGGACCUAUGUCCAGGAGGAGUCCCCUGAAGGGGGGCGGUUUAAGAAGGAGAUUGUGGUGGAUGGCCAGAGUUACCUGCUGCUGAUCCGAGAUGAAGGAGGCCCCCCUGAGCUCCAGUUUGCUGCCUGGGUGGAUGCAGUGGUGUUUGUGUUCAGCCUGGAGGA
This 624-nucleotide small RNA is filed under the name Pan troglodytes (chimpanzee). Its description in RNAcentral is "retained intron". Lineage: Eukaryota; Metazoa; Chordata; Mammalia; Primates; Hominidae. The record is from RNAcentral.